This 4506-nucleotide long non-coding RNA is filed under the name Lupinus angustifolius (narrow-leaved blue lupine). RNAcentral's name for it is "long non-coding RNA (LANG_LNC002040)". The record is from RNAcentral. Lineage: Eukaryota; Viridiplantae; Streptophyta; Magnoliopsida; Fabales; Fabaceae.
GUUUAAUCAUAAUAACAAGUACCAUUUAACAAAAACAUCACAGUAAUACCCAAAGUAACUUUCAAAUAGUAAACCAAAAACAGGAUGAUAAAACGAUAGAGUACAGAUCAUAAAGGUCAGGAGCUAGGCAUGCCGUUUAGCACUUGAUCUCCUUCAGACCAUGUGCGAAGUACAGAAAAGUGGGAUCUGCAGCACCAUCCUUGUAGUAAGCAAAGACCAAGCCACCAUCAUCAUGCAUGCUCUCCCCAACAAAACUGAACAUAGAGCUCAAGGUCAGUGUCUACUGAUUUAAACAAUCACUAGCACUUACAACUGAAGAUCAGAAAAUUACUUGUAGCUGAAUUCUACUGAAUUCUACAUCAAUCAUCAUUCACAAGUAUAAAAGUGUAUCAAAUAAUACACUUACAACUGAAGAUCACUGAGCUUGGAGAGCAGGAACUUUGUGGCUGAUGGAAUGUGUUGUUUGAAUUGAGCUUGACUCUCUUCAUCAAGUUUGGGUGUCAACAGCUUGAUAUACCUCUUAACAUAGGCAAGGAACUGCUUCUUGUCAAAAGGGGGUUGCUCCUGCAAGAAUUAAAACAUAACACUAAUACAAUGAGUUUAAGUUAAGAAAAUACUCAAAUUAAACAAAAAUGAUAUCACCAGGGAAGUAUUAUUAACCUAACCUGAAGUCUGAAGGUGUCAACAAUGUCCACAACCUUAACAGCUUGAUCAUCAACACCCUCAUCAUCCCCACCUUCGGCGGAAGGGUUUGCACCAAUGUCUACAUCAACUGCUCCCUGAACGACCCACUGUAAAAACCACAAAAAGUCAUUUUGUCAGCCAUAUCAACCUCGAAACAAUAACCGAGCAACCGAACCACUUUCAAUAAAAGUAUUUAGUUAUAUGGAAAUAAAAACAUUUGAAAAAUUAUAAUUUAAAAAAAAUAUAGAGAAAUGCAUGCAAAUGAACAAACCUUUCCAUCAACUUCCCACAAUAUUCCAUUCUCAAUUUCACGAUAUGGGAAGGAGUCCGAGAGAAGCUCAUCACCUACAUAAUUUAUAGUAAUACAUAUGGUAAGUAAUCAACAUAUACAAAAGCAAGGAUCCUACAAUGCAAUAGAACACUCCUUCAUAAAAGUCUACAUCAUAACUUAAAACAAGUGACAAAUAAAUAACCUAGCUCAACAGACCUAGUAAAUAAUAAAUUGACAAUUAGGGAUGGCAACAGGUUUGGAUGGAUCCAGAUAGUUCAUUAUCCAUGUAUAUCAAUUUUUGGACCCAGACCCGUGCAGUUACCCAUUGGGUCUACUACCCACGGGUCCUUGAGUAGCCACAAAUUCAAAAAUAUUAAAAAAUAACUGUGAGUAAUUUAAGCAAUUGUAUGUUUGUUUCCUACAAUCUUACAUGUUAUUUAGGCAAUUAAUAAGAGAACAAAAUUAUAAAACAUAAUUCAGUUUUAAAACAAUUUAAAUAGACUAUUAAAACAACUCAUUUUACUCAAUCAAACAUAAAAAAUACAAAGUGACAACUUCAACAUUAUGAUGUAAAAUUGAUUUAGUAAGAACUCAUUAAUCGACAUAACAUUUGAUUAUUGAGGUGAAUAAAUAACAUAACAUCAUAUCAGACCCCUUAAUAUUAUAAUGUCACUGUUUAACAACUUAACAAUCACAAUCAUGAAUUAAUGUAACAUUAUACUUAGGAAAGAAUCGUCCGUCCAGGUACCCAUGGGUACGGGUAACUCAUUGCUCGGAACCAUAGUGGGCCUCAAAAUCUGGGGUCUAAUUAUAUACGGGUCCAAAAAACACAGACCCAGAUCCAACCCGUUGCGGGUACCCGCAGGUCUGAGUACCAAUUGCCAUCCCUAUUGACAAUUCGAAAUCACAAAUAGUAAAUUAGUGAGGACAGUGGUACAAAAUAACGAAUGACCGAUAUAGUAAAGUAUCCCCAAUAAAGUACUGGCAUGGAUCGUAUAUAGGAAUAAAUUCUAGGGUUAAAGUUUUAGGGCAAACUAAAGCAUAAUCAAGAUCUUAAUGAAUCAAAACUGAUCAAUAAAAAAAGAGAGCAGAAAGAAUAAACGAAUUCAAUAGUAAACAAUAAACAUAUUAUGUAAGAUUGAAAUAUAUAUGAAGUAAAACUCAUAGUGAUGUAGGAAAAGAGAAGAAGAAGAUGAUUGAAUAGAUACCAGUGAGAAGGUCUUGAUAAACCAACAUGAUUGGAUCGAAGAGCAGAGAUAUCCUCUCGGAUGGAAUAAAGAGGUGCGGCGAGGAGUGAGAAGAGAGAAAAAGGCUUCGAAAGUUUAGAGAAAAGAGUAUUUAUAAGCCAGGGUUUUCCACUUUCCUCUAAUUGGGCUAACUCUAUGUGGGCUUUGGGUUAUAAAUUAAACAAACAAUUCACCUUUAACUGUAAUAUAAGCUUUUAUUUCUUCCUCCAAAAUUGUGUAUUUUUAAAUGGAUUUAACUGAUGUAGCUUUAUUUAUAUUCUUAAAUGUACCUCAUAAACUUACCCCACAUUUAUAUUAAUGUUGUCUCAAUUAUAAGAACGAUGCAUAUUUUGUUCACCGUUAUCAAAUAAGCACAAAAACAGUUAUUCUCCAAUGAUGAAAUUAGAAGAAUAACGUUCUUAUUUGACUAUAAACUCAUUUUUUUCCACCAUUGUGAAUAUUUUAAGUAACUUGAUAAAUUUUUCUUAUUUGCUUACUAACUUACUAACUGAAAUCACCUGAAUAUAAGCCAUGAAGCUGAUGACUACUACGGAUUUUGGAAUUCUCUUGCUUAAAUACAGUAUACAAAUUUUAUACAAUGUUAGUAAAUCAUUUAUAAUUCAUAUUUAAUAUAUCAAAAAUGCAUAGUUAUUACAUUAUUAUGUUUUGAUGAUAAGCAAGAUACUAUAUAUGUGAAAUGACAUAAAGGAUGCAAUAUUAACCAAUAAUAUCAUUUCAUACUAAAGAAAUAAGUCUUUUCAAAUUAUGUAGUUAAACUAAGGAAAAAUAGCUUCCGAGAAUAUAUAUAUAUAUAUAUAUAUUAAAUAAUAAUAGUAUUCCAUAAAUAUAUUAUUACUAAUAUUAUUUUAUAAGAAUAUUAGUGACAACAUCAUGUUAAUAAAAAAUACAAUAUAAGAUAUGAUGAGAGAGAAGGGGAUAAAUGUGAAUUCAGAGACCAUCCUAGAUAUUUGAUAUUGUCAUUGUACAUAUACUUGAUUAGUUUCAAAAUAUAAUUUUAUAUUUGUCAAGUUAUUACAUACAAUUUUUGUAAAAAGAAUAUAAGUACUUACUUUACCCACUAAAAUAGUUUUUAUUUCAAUGAAAAUCUACUAGUUGCCAAUCAUUAACUUGUUUUAUAUUAUAAACUACCUCAUAUUCUUGCCAAGCACACGCAACAUUUCAAGUUGAGCAAAAAAUGAGUGCAUCAUUGUAGGAAUAUAGUUACUAGUUGGUCAUGGAAUAAACGGAAAAAAACUUUUUUGGAAAAUACAUUGUUAUGUAUGAGAAAAUGGAAUGAAACAUAAUUUGUUUCCACAAAAAAUUAAGAGGAAUUUUUUGACGAACUUGGAAGGGAAAGUACUAUUCCACACAAAAGGUGAAACAGUACAUGCCACUUUAAAAUGCCAUCAAUGUGAAUUUCACUUCUACAAGUACUUCUGAUCACAUUCUAGACACAAAACAAUACAAUUCCCACAAUAUUUUAGGAUUUGGACACCCACAUCCUCCGCCAAGAUCUCUAGCAUACGAGAUAUAAGUGACAGAUAAAAUUAGAUUCUAAUGGAUAAAUAAAAAAUCAUCUAUCAAUAUUUUUGAAAUUGAACUGAAUUCCAUUAAGUUUAUACGUUGCCAGCCAGACUAGUAAUCUCCUUCACACAUUCACAAGAUUUUGUAUUGAGAAACACCAUCGAACAGAAUGACAGUAAAACCCGACACACAAUGCACAUGUAGCAUUAAAUAACUAACAGCUACCCUAAAAACAAAAUUCUGCAUUUUAUAGCUGCACAUGGAAUCAUGAACAUGAAAAUGCAGGUUCUUGCUUUAGAAGGAUGACGGUCCCUGCUGCCAUUACCGUUCUUUAUUAUGCAAUAUGGGAGGGGAGGUAGAAACCAAAUUCGAUUGGUUCAAUGCAAAUCUUAUAAUUUGGAAAUUCAGCAAGAGAUGUUGGCAUUUUAUAAAUUUCUAAUUAGUGAUGUAAUUGAUUCCAGCUACAAGUAAUUUUCAGAUCAUAAGAAAAAAAUCAUGCAUUAAUAUGGCAUCCAAUCAAUUGAUUCCAGCCACUAAUAGCAGUCGGGUUGUUUAAUCAUAAUAAGUACCAUUAAACAAAAACACCAAGAGAAUUACCAAAGUAACUUUCAAAUAGUAAACCAAAAACAGGAUGAUAAAACGAUAGAGUACAGAUCAUAAAGGUCGGGAGCUAGGCAUGUCAUCUAGCACUUGAUCUCCUUCAGACCAUGUGCAAAGUACAGAAAAGUGGGAUCUGCAGCACCAUCCUUGUAGUAAGCAAAGACCAAGCCACCAUCAUCAUGCAUGCUCUCCCCAACAAAA